AUUUAGUCAUGUUACACGAAUCACUAAACCUACUCACAGAAGUCAGAGUAGAUAUUGCUAAAACACAACUUGCACUAAUGACGGGAGGGAGGACGCCGUUCGCCUGCUAUUGGUCCUACUCAAUCUACGUACGGACGUACAACCGUACAUGGUGGUCAGUUUGGGAACCGCAAGAGUGAACAUAGCUCCCAGUGGAUGAUUCCUUUCCAAAUACCACGGCACUUCGCUAUCUUCGCCCGACGAGCGUGGUCCUCAACCUGCUCUGCCAGAACUUCUCGAAGACCUUGUCCAUGUCGCUAGCAUGAGUUGACGCCUCAAGCUCGACGGUGGCAGACAUCUCGACCACCACGCCCUGAUACUUGUCAACAUCAACGGAGGCCUCACAUUUAUCAACGGAGGCCUCAACAUCAACAUCAACAUCAACGGGUAUGCCCAUGAUUGGCAACUUGGAGUAUUUUCUCAUUCGUCAAGUAUUUAUCUUGAGUUAUGACCAAUGUUCGGGAGUUGCAACACAUUCCGACUCUUGAGCAUAUCGAGAGGCUUCCCGUGAGUAGGUGGUGGAGAGACAAGGUCAUUUUUGCUACAAACAGUCAUGGGAAUAAAAAAGAAACGAUCACGCCAAUUGUGGGCCCGGUCAGAACAAGUAGAUACCUGCACCCAAUUUUCAUUGUGGACAUCACCAACAGAUAGUACUAGACAAAAAAGUUAUUGAGAGAAGCAACGAUGUCGCAGUCCCGACAAAGCGUUUCAAAGCAGAUAAGUCGCGCCAGCGACGUUGACGGAAAUUGUGAAAGCAUGACCCCACACAUAUUCACGGCCGACCGGACUAGAGGAGAAAGGGAGAUCUUCAGACCAACGUCGGCAUAAUGAGUAUAAACGAUGACAAAGCUGGUCAGAGGGUGUGAACCCAAGGCAUUCCCAGGAGUUUUAUGGCUGAUCACGAUGUUGGAUGACAUCCUCGUAAGCGCAUCCCUGAUCCCGUGGUCGGAAACAUUCGACCGUGGAUUAUUUUUGGAGGGCUCCAGUCUGAAAAGCGAGCUAAGGCGAUCGCUCCAGUCCAGAAGAGGAAGCUAUCGUUGCAACGGAUGGUGAAAGUGGUAACCUGUAGAAGGGAGGAGAGAAUUGAGGCAAGUGAGAAACAACGGAGAGUAAGAGCUGAAGGGGAGUAUUUAACCAAAUGUAUUUUGCUUAUUAUGAAAUAAAAAUUACAGUUUUCCUCCACUCUUCAUCUCCACAAAUUCCAUACGUUACAUCUUCAUCGUGAACUCCCUCCGGCCAUCUUUCCGACCAUCGAUUCACCUAGCCUCACUCCACAAUCAGCCACCAAACUUCAGACGUCCUCCUAGCAAGCCACCGCGACGCUCGGGGUACCUUCAAUUUCGUGAAAGGAACCUCAUAGCAACAUCAAACUUCAAUUCAGAAAUUAAUUUUUUUUAGCCCUCGUAUUCCGAUCUUAGAUCGGAGACAUUGGGCCUAUUCAGGUC
This 1484-nucleotide long non-coding RNA is filed under the name Zostera marina. Its description in RNAcentral is "long non-coding RNA (ZMAR_LNC005115)". Lineage: Eukaryota; Viridiplantae; Streptophyta; Magnoliopsida; Alismatales; Zosteraceae. The record is from RNAcentral.